GAUGAAGAACGUAGCGAAAUGCGAUAACUAAUGUGAAUUGCAGAAUUCAGUGAAUCAUCGAAUCUUUGAACGCACAUUGCGCCCUUUGGCAUUCCGAAGGGCAUGCCUGUUCGAGCGUCAUUAUCACCCCUCAAGCCCCCCUGGCUUGGUGUUGGACGGUUUUGGUGGGACGUGCAGCCUCUCACCCCUCCUAAAGACAAUGACGGCGGCGUCGUUGGAACCCCCCGGUACACUGAGCUUCUUAACUGAGCACGUACUGGAUGCGGGUACGCGAUGCACGGUCUGCCUCCCCUUUAGGGAGAACUUUUUCUUAAGGUUGACCUCGGAUCAGGUAGGAAUACCCGCUGAACUUAAGCAUAUCAAUAAGCGGAGGA
This 374-nucleotide unclassified non-coding RNA is filed under the name soil metagenome. RNAcentral's name for it is "partial contains 5.8S ribosomal RNA, internal transcribed spacer 2, and large subunit ribosomal RNA". The stretch from base 1 to 120 matches the Rfam family "5.8S ribosomal RNA", at positions 35 to 154 of the family's 154-position model. The record is from RNAcentral.